GAUGAACGCUGGCGGCGUGCCUAAUACAUGCAAGUCGAACGCAUUGUGGUUGAAAUGAUAUGAAGAACUUGUUCAGAUUUGAUUUUCAACAUUGCAAUGAGUGGCGAACGGGUGAGUAACACGUGGGAAACCUACCUCUUAGCAGGGGAUAACAUUUGGAAACAAAUGCUAAUACCGUAUAAUAAUUAAAACCGCAUGGUUUUAGUUUAAAAGAUGGUCUUGCUAUCACUAAGAGAUGGUCCCGCGGUGUAUUAGUUAGUUGGUGAGGUAAUGGCUCACCAAGACAAUGAUACAUAGCCGAGUUGAGAGACUGACCGGCCACAAUGGGACUGAGACACGGCCCAUACUCCUACGGGAGGCAGCAGUAGGGAAUCUUCCACAAUGGACGAAAGUCUGAUGGAGCAACGCCGCGUGUGUGAUGAAGGUUUCGGCUCGUAAAACACUAGUUGUAAGAG
This 455-nucleotide ribosomal RNA is filed under the name uncultured bacterium. RNAcentral describes it as "bacterial SSU rRNA". It matches the Rfam family "Bacterial small subunit ribosomal RNA", at positions 28 to 445 of the family's 1533-position model. The record is from RNAcentral.